Molecule: ribosomal RNA, 336 nt
Filed under: Bacillus subtilis
Lineage: Bacteria; Bacillati; Bacillota; Bacilli; Caryophanales; Bacillaceae
Description: bacterial SSU rRNA
Rfam family: Bacterial small subunit ribosomal RNA
Source: RNAcentral
GGACGAAAGUCUGACGGAGCAACGCCGCGUGAGUGAUGAAGGUUUUCGGAUCGUAAAGCUCUGUUGUUAGGGAAGAACAAGUACCGUUCGAAUAGGGCGUACCUUGACGGUACCUAACCAGAAAGCCACGGCUAACUACGUGCCAGCAGCCGCGGUAAUACGUAGGUGGCAAGCGUUUGUCCGGAAUUAUUGGGCGUAAAGGGCUCGCAGGCGGUUUCUUAAGUCUGAUGUGAAAGCCCCCCGGCUCAACCGGGGAGGGUCAUUGGAAACUGGGGAACUUGAGUGCAGAAGAGGAGAGUGGAAUUCCACGUGUAGCGGUGAAAUGCGUAGAGAUGU